Molecule: long non-coding RNA, 3107 nt
Organism: Malurus melanocephalus (red-backed fairy wren)
Lineage: Eukaryota; Metazoa; Chordata; Aves; Passeriformes; Maluridae
Exons: 5
Source: RefSeq, a predicted model, not a curated record
GAGCAAUUUGACCUUCUCUAGACCCUAUCCAGAGACAUCUCUAUUCUUACACGUGUAUUAUUGGCAAAUGUUUUGAAUUUUUGAGUUUGUAGAGGAAAAUGUUCAACAUCUCAGGGAUUCUUGAGCCAUGGCAGACUGCUUUCCACCCACCACUGAGUAGGUUACCAGACAAUACUUAAUGUUUAGGUAUCAAAUAAGUCGAAACUAUCUCUGGACCUUAACGUGCACUGAAUUAAUUACAUUGCUCCUCUUUGCCUUUUCGUUAUUCUGUUUAUUAUAAGGCAAAGCUUGCUGGUGGGGCAGUGYGUAAGUGGAAAAUUUCCAAGGAACAUCACUCACGGAGCAUUGGAAGAAGAAUUUCAGCACUGAUGCUCCUCUAGGACAUCAGAAUCCAAAGGCAUUGCUGGCAUUCAUCUUUUGGGUGAAACUAUGGCUAGAGCUGUCUCAAAACAAAGAAUGCAGCAAGGCUCUGCAGGAGGUUGUAUGUAGCAGAGUGGAGGGAGGUGGAUGUGUCCUGCCUGGAUGCAUCCUGCCUUGCAGCCAACCCACGCAAGAGGAAGAGCUGACUUUUUUGGGGCCUUUUGGCAAAAGAAACAACUGUGUUAAGUCUUACCCAUUCUGAAACACUUUGUUUGGAUUUAAGAUAAAAUACAAACUGAUAUUGCGGCGAUGGGUCGGAAGUGCAGGCUGAGCUUGGACAAAUCCUUGGGCUCUGUUGUUCAUUGGUGGCUGCUGUGAGACUGGGACAGCCACGAGCAGAAGCCAUGGAAACCUGUAGUCUGUACUGGAAAAUAAAUGACUGGAAACGUUCCUCGGUGACUAACUUGCUACAAGACAUUAUUAUUUCAAGUGGGUGAAGUUGAGCCGGGACUGUCGGUGCCGUCAUUCAACGAGGACAGCGAUUCGCGGCUACUUUUUCAGACGAGCUAAAUUGAUCAGACAAGUCAGUCAAUGUCAUUGAGCACUAUUUGUCACUUCAUAAGCAGCUACAAUCUGCUGCUCUAUAAAUGCAGAAGGACCGUCGAAUAAAUCACAUCAACCRGUGGGAGUAGAUAGUGUCCCUUCAUCCAUAAUUGGAGCGGUCCUCUCCUGUCACAUCCGCUCAUUCGCCGCGAUUCCGGCRCGGAUUGACACUGACGAAGAAAGAGCAGCCGCUGUCACAGGAGCUGGAGUCUGUCUGCUGCUCUGCUCUCCCCACUAAUAGAUAUCCAUCAUAAUAUUGUAUUAACAUCACAAAAAAUCAGACUUAUAGCUCCGCUACCCGCGUGUAUCGAUGACAUAUGUAGGGGUUUCUUCUGGGCUGCGGGRAAGGCUGAUUGAUGCAAAGGGAAAGCUCGUGAUUAAAACCGCUUUCCAAAGCCAUCAGCCACAGGAAUAUUUACUGCUGUGUGUGGUGCUGAUUUCACAGACAAAAGUAUAAUUUAUAAUAUAUAUAAAGAAAAAAAAAAUUAGGAUAGGGGGAGCACGGUUUGUUGUAAACAGACCUUCUGGAAAUCUGUUAUUUGCUGGUGCAGGAUAUGUUAUGGAAUUAUUCCUAUUAAGUGGUUUUAUGGUUAUAUAGUUACCUAAGUAAUUAAGGAAGUGAAACACCUUGAAAAAAUAUUAUUGUCUCCUUAGCACUAAAAAAAACCAAAAAAGCCCCCCAAACUUUUGUCUGGUACCUGGUUUGGCAUAUAUGUGUUUUCAAAGUGAACAGAUGAUAUCAGAAGAGAGUAAUUAUUACAAAGGUGUGCCAGGUGAUGAACUUUUUUUCCUGGAGAAAUGCUGKGUGGUUUCUACUAGGAAUAUGUUAGAUUAAUCAGCUCUCAGUCCUGGAGAGAAAUCACAGUGGAAUACCCAAAGUGCUGUGUAGUCACGUGUAAAUCUCUGACAACCUGGAGGCACGGAUCAUUUGUUCAGUGUUCGGUUCCAACAACAAGCUCAUGCAGGAAAAUACCUUGUUUGCUUAUAAAAAGAUUGCAGCUGAAUAUAUAAUUGCUGAGAAUGGAGCAUGGGGAUCCCAGUGCUCCAGGAUGAGGAUCUGGAUCCUUUCUCUUAAUUUUGGGGGGGAAUAAGUCUGAAGUCAGUUUUGCCUGUGUGUAAACAAGGCUUCACAUUGCAUGUCUUGUGGGAAAGUAGUGAAAUGUUUUCUUUUGAAAGGUGCUCGGUGUAAAUGUCAUGUUCCUGGCUGGARCCCUUGCUGGGCCCACAGGCAAAGCCUAAUAUCAAAUGACUCCUGCAAUUUUCAGUCUGGGACGUCUCUUGAUCCGUGUGCACAGAGGAUGAGCAAUUUCUCCUUUCUGUGUUGGCUUCUUUGCCUCUUGGUGCAGAAGCUGUCCUGAAAAUGUGCCAGGAACCUCAGUCAUAGGUAAGCAGCAGAAAUUAUUUGAUCUAUGAAAGACUUAAUUCUGUUAAUAUUCAUAUAAAUUCCGCUAGAAAUACAGUUCAAAAGAAAACUCAAAGCAAUAGAUCAGAGAAGUAUUCAUCACUGAAUACAAGCCUUUGACUUGUUUUUAGAUUAAAAUAAUAGAAAUGUUACGCUUAAAACCAAAAUGUGAGACAAGUCCACRUGCACUGGAGAACUGAACAGCAUCCAGAGGAGGCAGCUUACACAGGAGCACAUUCAUUGUCAACAUCUGAUACUGAAAAGGUCAAUAGUUAAUUAAAUAAUCCAUCACCUUAGGAUAGAGAGCCRUCCUCACUUCUGACAAUCAAUGGCAGAAAUAUUAAAAGGUCAGAAAAUGAGUUACUAUAUAUUGUUUUUUCUUACUGUGUGUUAUAAAGAUGUGGCUUUGGUUGAGUGUUGUGGGCAUGAAGACAGGUGGGAAGAAAUAUUAGCUGUUGCCCAAAUAUUUUUUUAGAUGCUCUUUUACCAGGCUUCUUUAUGUGUGGGCUUCUGGAUCGAUGGGCCUCAAAGAUGUAGUAAACUUUUACAACGAAAAUUUAAGACUAUCUCACAGAAUUUAUAACAUUCUCUCUUUAAUUAUCAGAGUGUUUUCRGGAGUGUUUUUCUCCCGUGCUGCUUGAGGUUUGUACUGGGAUAAACUGGGUGAGAGUUCUGAUGUUCAGGUUUUGUUUAGGUAUAGGGUGCAGCUACUCUGGGAACCCAAGAGGCAGAUUUUUGGUGU